UACGUAGGGGGCAAGCGUUGUCCGGAUUUAUUGGGCGUAAAGAGCGUGUAGGCGGUUCGGUAGGUCCGUUGUGAAAACUCGAGGCUCAACCUCGAGACGCCGAUGGAAACCAUCGAACUAGAGUCCGGAAGAGGAGAGUGGAAUUCCUGGUGUAGCGGUGAAAUGCGCAGAUAUCAGGAGGAACACCGGUGGCGAAGGCGGGUCUCUGGGCCAUUACUGACGCUGAGGAGCGAAAGCGUGGGGAGCGAACAGG
This 253-nucleotide ribosomal RNA is filed under the name uncultured bacterium. Its description in RNAcentral is "partial 16S ribosomal RNA". It matches the Rfam family "Bacterial small subunit ribosomal RNA", at positions 524 to 776 of the family's 1533-position model. The record is from RNAcentral.